This is a non-coding RNA of Paramormyrops kingsleyae, 257 nucleotides long. NCBI's taxonomy places the organism in Eukaryota, Metazoa, Chordata, Actinopteri, Osteoglossiformes, Mormyridae. The record is from RefSeq and is a predicted model, not a curated record.
UGGGAAGUCUGAUCACCAGGUUUCCAUUUUUGAGAGACCAUAGCUCCUCUGGCUAUGAAACUCUAUUGGAGUGUUUGCGAAAUAAGUUCAAGAAGGAAAGGUCACCUUUAGUGAACUUGGCAACAGUCCAGGAGAUGAAAAAAAACGUUUGGUGCCAAAAGACGGAGAGUUAUGGAUCAUGUGCCUCUGGAGGACCCACUUGGACAUCAGAGGGCAAAGAGGCGCAGAAGUGAAGGUACAAUCCAGACAUCUUGGAG